RNAcentral lists this ribosomal RNA (305 nucleotides) under uncultured bacterium. RNAcentral describes it as "bacterial SSU rRNA". It matches the Rfam family "Bacterial small subunit ribosomal RNA", at positions 334 to 658 of the family's 1533-position model. The record is from RNAcentral.
GACCUACGGGAGGCAGCAGUGGGGAAUAUUGCACAAUGGGGGAAACCCUGAUGCAGCGACGCCGCGUGAAGGAUGAAGUAUUUCGGUAUGUAAACCUCUAUCAGCAGGGAAGAAAAUGACGGUACCUGACUAAGAAGCCCCGGCUAACUACGUGCCAGCAGCCGCGGUAAUACGUAGGGGGCAAGCGUUAUCCGGAUUUACUGGGUGUAAAGGGAGCGUAGACGGCAGCGCAAGUCUGGAGUGAAAUGCCGGGGCCCAACCCCGGAACUGCUCUGGCAACUGUGAAGCUGGAGUGCAGGAGAGGU